This 533-nucleotide ribosomal RNA is filed under the name uncultured bacterium. RNAcentral describes it as "bacterial SSU rRNA". It matches the Rfam family "Bacterial small subunit ribosomal RNA", at positions 319 to 849 of the family's 1533-position model. The record is from RNAcentral.
CUGAGACACGGACCAGACUCCUACGGGAGGCAGCAGUGAGGAAUAUUGGUCAAUGGGAGAGAUCCUGAACCAGCCAAGCCGCGUGAGGGAAGACGGCCCUAUGGGUUGUAAACCUCUUUUGUCGGAGAACAAAACCCGGGACGUGUCCCGGACUGCGUGUAUCCGAAGAAAAAGCAUCGGCUAACUCCGUGCCAGCAGCCGCGGUAAUACGGAGGAUGCGAGCGUUAUCCGGAUUUAUUGGGUUUAAAGGGUGCGUAGGCGGUCCGUUAAGUCAGCGGUAAAAUUGCGGGGCUCAACCCCGUCGAGCCGUUGAAACUGGCAGACUUGAGUUGGCGAGAAGUACGCGGAAUGCGCGGUGUAGCGGUGAAAUGCAUAGAUAUCGCGCAGAACUCCGAUUGCGAAGGCAGCGUACCGGCGCCAGACUGACGCUGAGGCACGAAAGCGUGGGGAUCGAACAGGAUUAGAUACCCUGGUAGUCCACGCAGUAAACGAUGAAUGCUGGUUGUCCGGGUCGAAUGAGACCUGGGCGGCGA